Long non-coding RNA from Arachis duranensis, 1817 nucleotides. RefSeq lists it as uncharacterized. The transcript has 5 exons. Lineage: Eukaryota; Viridiplantae; Streptophyta; Magnoliopsida; Fabales; Fabaceae. The record is from RefSeq and is a predicted model, not a curated record.
AUGGAAUCUCCGGUUGAUCUUGAGAUAAAAUAUGCAAAUACAAUAGCAGAUAUCAUGACAAAGAUUGCAAUGAAGACCUUUUCUCUUCAACCGUCACCCCAUUUCUUUUCACCAUCGGCAACUCACAAAGUUUCCUUUUCCCAGAAAGAAAGAAACAGCGAGCCAGCAGGAGGGGGAGAGAGGGAGGCGCAUCUCGUCGCCGUCGAGUUGGAGGGGGAGCUGUCCGCAGCGCCAUGGCACCGCCGCCACCAUGCCAUGCCUCGCCGCGAGGUACCCAAUCGCGCCAUUGCCGUCCUACUCAACGCUGCCGUCCCAUCUUACCGCGCCGCCUUGGAAUCCGCAGUCAGAGUCGUGUCGCACAGAGGAGAGAAGAAGAGGAACUCACCGCGUCGCCGUCACCCACGGAGAUGCGAGCUGCGCCUAGUUGGCGGCGGGGUCACCGUGCCGUCAUCCUUGCCAGCUCCGAACGAGAAGCACGAUGGAGCUCCGUUUCUGCUUCCCUGGAGCUCUGUUUCUGCUUCCCUGGUCCGCCGUGAGACUGAGCGCCGCUGGGAGGGAGAAAGGCGCACGCGGGAGGGUGAAGCCGCCUCUAUCACCACCGCUGCCGUGAGUGGGGGGUCGUUGUCAUCGCUCUGCAUGUCGGUGCCGUACACCACUGUUGUUGCUGCCGAAUGGGGGAGAAGUCGUGCCACUGUUCUGGCCGCCGGAGCUUCUGGCCGAGCCUCAACCGCCGGGAACGCCGCUGCCGCCACCGAGCUCCACUGCCAAUUGCCGCUGCUGCUUGGGGCUGACUGCUGGGUUGCCGCCGAACCGGUUCGGAGAUCGCCGCUGUUUCGGUUCAAUCGUUCCUCCUUCGAUUCGAGUUGUUGAGACUGUUGCGAAAGUGGCUUGGAACCGAGGUUUUGGCUGCCGGGAUUUUGAUUGUUGAUCUCAGGCCGAGGCGGAAAGGAUUCUGUGACGCGUGUGGGCUAUGGUUUUGCGUUUUGAGGAUGUGGGCGCAGAAGUCACGAAGAGUUUAUUUAAUUGUUUUUGAGAUGUUCUGCAUUGCUUUAGAUUAUUAUAUAUUGUACCCUCGCCUUUUUCUUGAGAUAUUCUGUAAGAGGGAUAGGAAUUGUAUUGGUUCAUGCUUGUAAUAUUAUAUAUAUAUAUAUAUAUAUAUGUGUAUAUAUAUAUGGAUGUACUGUUGAUGAGUUUUGUAAGUGGUAUGGUAUCUAUGGAUGUACUUUGUCGAAGGAAAGUAUUUUGAGAUGCGGCUUUGCGGUAAAAAGAUUUAAAUAGGCUCAUAUUUUAGUAUUAAAUAGUGUAAGUGUCGUCGUAAUGUCCGAGCUAUCAGAGUUGCGCAGCCGGAAGCGUGACCUUUGGUAGUUAGGGUGUUACAUUAUAGUAUCAGAGCAGUCCUUCCUGUAGAGCCUGAGGAAUGGACCAACUAUGCUUCAAUUGCAUACUCUGAGCAUUUGUCAUGUACUAGGUCUUGUCGGAUGACGAGAAUUAGAGCUUUACGCACGUGACGAUCUAUUGAUUAACGCUGUUAGUCUUGCAUUGCAUAAUUCUUGGUAUUAAGUUUGGCCAGGUUAAUACUAGUGAAUUUUGUAUAUGAAAGCACUAAUGGGUUAUCAUAGAUGACAUACGAGUUGAGUAAAGUGAAUCGCGGGUUUUGGGAACGUUAGAAACUAUUUCUCGAGGCUAUUCAGUUGUGUAUCUUGGAUUUUGUUCGAGUCGACCUGUUCUUUCAUAUCCUAACUUGAAGUUCUUGUUGCUACUCCUCUUGAAAAGUAAUUUGAUGUUUCCACUCUGUUUCUCUAUUCAUAUGCAUUCUU